Molecule: non-coding RNA, 648 nt
Organism: Pelobates cultripes (western spadefoot toad)
Lineage: Eukaryota; Metazoa; Chordata; Amphibia; Anura; Pelobatidae
Source: the annotation of a GenBank genome assembly
ACCACGAGGUGGCGGCCAUCUUGUUCACAUGAACGCAGGCAGCUGGGUUUGGGCAUGAAUCUCAUGGAACUAAAAUUGGGCACAGAAACUCCUGAACACCACUGGACUUCCAUCAUCGCCUGCGUUCGGUUCUACUCAACUUAGAAGGGCACUGUUCGGUGGAAUUGUUCAACUGAACAAGGGGAAUAGGCUCCAGGGUAAGACCAUUGACUUUGUUCAGCAGUUUGUUUGUUUUUAAACUAUCGAACUAGACCGACCGCUAGCCCUGUUGGAACUGUUUUGGACAUGGGACCAUGCGUGUGGUCGGUCAACAAAUGACUUCCAGGAAAUUCCUGAACCCCUGAACUGCUCUUGGUGAUUUUGGGGGUUUUAUGUAUUUUUAGGGUACUUUUGGGGUGUUUUGGAAAAAAGUGUGUUUUUUCUGUGCAUGGAGAUAAUUGGAUUAGAUUAGUACAGUUGCUGAUCCAAUUAUCUCUCAGGCACAGAGGAGGGAUUAUCUGAUUUUGUAUGGGAGUGUCCUGGAUCUGAGAGCCAAUGUAAUUGUGUAUUUGUUUCUACUGUGGUUUACUCUCAGGUCCAGGUGGGAGUGCCCCUUGCAUGGGGACCUGAAUAUAAGGCCAGUUGUGGCUGCCAAUAAAAGCAUACCAG